UAGAGAGCAAGGGACAUAUAAGAAAUCUCCAGGCAGCUUCACUUAGAUGCAUCAUCUUCUGCUAGGAGUCGGCUUGAAGAAUGACCUUCUUAGGUUAAUUCUUGGGAGACUGCAACUGACAUGCUGGAUGGGGAAUAACCAAAUUUGUGGACAAAGACAAAGAGUUCAUCGCAAGGGGUGGUGUUUAGGAUAUAUACACAAAAGAGGAAACUUUUUUUGUACAAAACCAAAUUAUAUGAUGUAAUAGACCACUAUUUCUAAGAAAUGUUCAUCAUGUGUUGAGUACAUUUUAUUGUGUCACUUUUUUUUGAGGGGUAGCUUUAUUCAUCAAACAUCACAAAGUGUGCGAUAGAGUUCAUCAAACCAGGCUUUAUUGUGUCA
Non-coding RNA from Triticum urartu, 381 nucleotides. NCBI's taxonomy places the organism in Eukaryota, Viridiplantae, Streptophyta, Magnoliopsida, Poales, Poaceae. The record is from RefSeq and is a predicted model, not a curated record.